GUGCUUGGGCGAGAGUAGUACUAGGAUUGUUGACCACUUGGGAAGUCCUCAUGUUGCGCCCCUUAUUUUU
RNAcentral lists this ribosomal RNA (70 nucleotides) under Mentha x piperita (peppermint). Lineage: Eukaryota; Viridiplantae; Streptophyta; Magnoliopsida; Lamiales; Lamiaceae. The record is from RNAcentral.